AACCUAGCACACCUGCGGUGUGUACCUGCGGAGGGAUCAUUACAGAGUUGCAAAACUCCCUAAACCAUUGUGAACGUUACCUAAACCGUUGCUUCGGCGGGCGGCCCGGGUCCUUCCCGGCGCCCCUCGGCCCUCGCGGGCGCCCGCCGGAGGUAAACCAAACUAUUGCAUUGUAUGGCCUCUCUGAGUCUUCUGUACUGAAUAAGUCAAAACUUUUAGCAAUGGAUCUCAGAUCGGAAG
This 240-nucleotide unclassified non-coding RNA is filed under the name soil metagenome. RNAcentral's name for it is "partial contains 5.8S ribosomal RNA, internal transcribed spacer 2, and large subunit ribosomal RNA". The record is from RNAcentral.